ACGUGCUUGGUCAGGCCUCCUAUAGUCAAUUGUUGACGCUCUGCGUCGGGACGUAUGUUUAACUGACAUGCGGCACAAGAAUGAGACAGUUAGGUUUAGGAAAAGAUCAUGGGUGGGGUUACAAAAUGUACGUAUUUAGUGACACGCGGGACAAGAACGGGACACGAAGCCCGGUCUCAUUGGUGAAAGACCUGUGUUGUUUGACCCA
Sander lucioperca (pikeperch) is the source of this 208-nucleotide long non-coding RNA. RefSeq lists it as uncharacterized. The transcript has 3 exons. The record is from RefSeq and is a predicted model, not a curated record. NCBI's taxonomy places the organism in Eukaryota, Metazoa, Chordata, Actinopteri, Perciformes, Percidae.